Molecule: long non-coding RNA, 2121 nt
Organism: Pan troglodytes (chimpanzee)
Lineage: Eukaryota; Metazoa; Chordata; Mammalia; Primates; Hominidae
Exons: 3
Source: RefSeq, a predicted model, not a curated record
GCCGGCUUCACCUCUCACUGGCACUCACCUGUGGCGCCUAGCCCAGGCACUCCAGCAGCCCAGUGGGAGCUCUUCCCCCAAUCAAGCCCAGCAGCUGCUGGCCAGCCACGCCCAGUGUGGGGACGCCAAGCCCCCGCCCACCCGGAACUCUUGACGGCCUGCGAGCGCCACCAGAAGCCCCGGCUCCCGCAGGCGCCUCUCGCUCCACACCUCCAUGCAAGCAGAGGGAGCCGGCUCCAGCCUCGGCCAGCCCCAGAGAGGGGCCCCCACAGUGCAGUGGUGGCCAGAGCGGAUGCCGAGGCCCAGGAGAGGCCGAGAGUGAGCCAGGGCUGCUAGCACGUUGUCACCUCUCACUAACACCAGAAGAGGUGGAGAUGGUCCAUAUUUACAACAUUUGUUGCAGACAAUGAGACAAAUGUAGUCCAUACUCCACAAAUUGCCAGAAGUAAUGUUAUUUGACCCAACAGGAGGGAGAAAGCGGAAUUUGUGUGGAGAGUAAGAUGCUGAUGUUUGGAUGUGCAGAGAAGAGUUUCCAUAUAGCAGGAAAAGCCCUUUUUCCUUUCUCUCCAGCUUGUAAGGAAGAGUCUAGAUAUUCCCACAUAGCACUAAGUUCUUCUAAGGGACAAUACUGGAAAAAGAAGAAAUCACAAGCUGGGGAAAAAGGUAUACCAGAGUUUAGUUUUGAGAAGGGAUGCAGUGCUUGAGAGAAGAAGCUAUCAUCCACAUGAACCAUGAGGUAAAGAGACAGAGUUUGGAUGGAGGAAUUUAAAAUAUAAUUCCUUUUUAUUAGUAAUAUUCUUUCUGUCCUUUGGUAUUUAUUAAAAUAUUGAGUAGAUUAUAACUGAUUAGAUGAGAUUAAAGGUUCUGGGUUUUGUUUUGCUUUUUGUUUCUUGAUUGCUGUUUCUUUGAAUGUAAUUCCAUAUGGUAACUAAGGUCCCAUUUUUAUUUUGAUUAUAUUCUUGAUAAUCCAAACAAGAUAAAAUAAGGAACUAACCUAGGCUGUCGCUGUAAUAAUUUUGAGAAUGGGAUACAAUGAAUAUUUACAUAUUUCAUUAGACAGAAUAAGAUAAUUGCCUUGGACAUAAGGAAAGAAGACAAAGAAAUAAUCUAAGAUGAUUACCUAGGUUAGUCGAUUGGCUCAGUGAGAAUAGCAACAACUACGGGGUUUGAGGAAGAAAACUAAUAACCUAAGUUGAAGACAACCGGUAGGCAAUGGGAUAUCAAUGUUUGCAGCUUAUGGCAGAGUCAGAGCCAGAACUUCCCCUGCAUGCUGGUGAAAAAUAAACCCAUGGGAAGAGAUGAGAUUCCCUAAGGCAGACGAAUCAGUUAGGAUCUCUAGAGGAAUCCAAGGGCACCCUGAGAUAGUUAAUUGGACAAUAGUUAAUUAAAAUUCUAAAAUGUUAGCCACAAUUAAUAUUCUUCAGAUAAUGUAGCAGUGCAAAAUAAAGAAAAUAGCUAUCAACUAUUAGUAAUAACAUAAGUUAUGUUAUCAUUAGCAUAGCAACUAUGCUAUGAUUCUUUGCUUUCCUUAUCCUGUGCCAGCCCUUUUACCUAUGCAGAGUUUUGGAUCUGAUGGAGUGACUCAUACGUUUAUUCUCAUAGAUUCUAAGCAAUUGGUGGUCAUGUCUUAGCACAUGGAUUAGCACUGUUUUCUAAGGAUAAUUAGGCAAGGGAGUUUCAAGUGAUACCCCAGUGAUGCCUCUAAGUUCCAAACACAGUCUUUUUUAUUCUACUAAGUAACAGUAACCCAAUUUGUUUCUAGUUAUUGUGACAAAUCACCCAGGAGAGUGUAGUGAUCUCCACCUUCUCUGCCUGAUGGUUCAGCAGCAUGAGACGCCCAAAAUGUCCUGGGAAUUGUUUUGGCUUCCAGUUCAUUGGGAAGAUGUUGAUAUUGACUCAUGGAAGCAUUUGGGCAUUAUGACCUUCAAAUUAUUGAACCACAUUAUUUGGGACAGGACGCAAAAUUUCUUCUACUGUGUGAAUAAUUGGGGCGGGGGGUGGGGGCGCUAACCAUUUUGAUUCCUGCUUUCAAUACCAGAACUUUGGGAGGUCAAGGUGGCAGGAUUGCUUGAGCCCAGGAUUUCAUGAUUGGUCUUGGAAACAUAGUGAGAUCCCAUCUGU